GCAAACUUGGUCAUUUAGAGGAAGUAAAAGUCGUAACAAGGUUUCCGUAGGUGAACCUGCGGAAGGAUCAUUAACGAAUUACGAACGUCUUCGGUUGAGCUGGCCUUCACCGGCAUGUGCCCACCGUCGUGCGCUUUUUCCAAAUUCAACACCUGUGCACCUUUGUGAGGGGAUCUUCUUUGCGCUCUUGUUCGGAACCUGCAAAGGUUUCGGGCAAGGGCAAGGAGGAGGACCCUUUACGUAUUUCAUACCCCAACCAAUACAGACCAUAGAAUGUAACAAAGUCGACCUGUGGGCGUAGGCGUAAACAACCUCGUCCCUGGACGCAAAACAAAACUAUAUACAACUUUCAACAACGGAUCUCUUGGCUCUCGCAUCGAUGAAGAACGCAGC
RNAcentral lists this unclassified non-coding RNA (393 nucleotides) under uncultured fungus. Its description in RNAcentral is "partial contains small subunit ribosomal RNA, internal transcribed spacer 1, and 5.8S ribosomal RNA". The stretch from base 1 to 73 matches the Rfam family "Eukaryotic small subunit ribosomal RNA", at positions 1759 to 1831 of the family's 1831-position model. The record is from RNAcentral. Lineage: Eukaryota; Fungi.